RNAcentral lists this ribosomal RNA (546 nucleotides) under Triticum aestivum (bread wheat). RNAcentral describes it as "partial small subunit ribosomal RNA". Lineage: Eukaryota; Viridiplantae; Streptophyta; Magnoliopsida; Poales; Poaceae. The record is from RNAcentral.
AUGAUCAAGCCGCUCACCUCCUCGCCCUUGGCCGCGGCCGCGGCCGUGCUCGUCGUCGUGUCGGCGUGGGGCGCGGACGCGACGAUCGAGACCACGUGCAGGGACGCAGGGGCGGGCGACCGGCGCGUGGACGUCGCGUUCUGCGUGCGCCAGUUCUUGGCGUACGAGGGCGCGGCGGAGGCGGAUACGUGGGGCCUGGCAAAGACGGCCGUGCUCAUCGGCAUCAACCUCGCCGACGACGCCAUCUUCGACCUCACCCACGGGAAGAUCCUCCCAGAGCCCAAGGACAAGAAGGCCGAGGCGGCCAUGGACGCGUGCGUGAAGGCGUACGACAAGGUGGGCCUGGCCUUCGCGGAGGCCUCCGACGAGCUCAGAGCGCGCCGGUACGCGGCGGCCAAGGAGGAGAUGGCGAGCGUCGCGCCGCUCCUGCAGCGGUGCGACGGCGGGCUCGUCAAGGUCGGGCUCCCGUCGCCGCUGCCCAGGUACAGCGCCGACUGCCUGCAGACGACCAUCAUUGGCAUCGCCAUAACAAACCUCGUCAAGUGA